RNAcentral lists this ribosomal RNA (440 nucleotides) under uncultured bacterium. RNAcentral's name for it is "partial 16S ribosomal RNA". It matches the Rfam family "Bacterial small subunit ribosomal RNA", at positions 338 to 795 of the family's 1533-position model. The record is from RNAcentral.
CCUACGGGUGGCAGCAGUGGGGAAUAUUGGACAAUGGGGGGAACACUGAUGCAGCGAAGCCGCGUGAGGGAAGAAGUAAUUCGUUAUGUAAAGCUCUAUCAGCAGGGGAGAAAAUGACGGUACCUGAGUCAGAAGCCCCGGCUCACUACAGGCCAGCAGCCGCGGUAACACGUGGGGGGCAAGCGUUAUCCGGAUUUACUGGGUGUUAAGGGUGCGUAUACGGCAGUGCAAGUCUGGAGGGGAAGGCGGGGGCUCAACCCCCGGACUGCUCUGGAAACUGCACGGCUGGAGUGGAGGAGAGGUAAGUGGAAUUCCUGGUGUAGCGGUGAAAUGCGUAGAUAUUGGGAGGAACUCCAGUGGCGAAGGCGGCUUACUGGACUGUAACUGACGUUGAGGCUCGAAAGCGUGGGGAGCGAACAGGAUUAGAUACCCCUGUAGUC